RNAcentral lists this ribosomal RNA (492 nucleotides) under uncultured bacterium. Its description in RNAcentral is "partial 16S ribosomal RNA". It matches the Rfam family "Bacterial small subunit ribosomal RNA", at positions 29 to 507 of the family's 1533-position model. The record is from RNAcentral.
AGUGAACGCUGGCGGUAGGCCUAACACAUGCCAGUCGAACGGCAGCACAGUAAGAGCUUGCUCUUACGGGUGGCGAGUGGCGGACGGGUGAGGAAUACAUCGGAAUCUACUUUUUCGUGGGGGAUAACGUAGGGAAACUUACGCUAAUACCGCAUACGACCUACGGGUGAAAGCAGGGGAUCUUCGGACCUUGCGCGAUUGAAUGAGCCGAUGUCGGAUUAGCUAGUUGGCGGGGUAAAGGCCCACCAAGGCGACGAUCCGUAGCUGGUCUGAGAGGAUGAUCAGCCACACUGGAACUAAGACACGGUCCAGACUCCUACGGGAGGCAGCAGUGGGGAAUAUUGGACAAUGGGCGCAAGCCUGAUCCAGCCAUACCGCGUGGGUGAAGAAGGCCUUCGGGUUGUAAAGCCCUUUUGUUGGGAAAGAAAAGCAGCAGGUUAAUACCCCGCUGUUCUGACGGUACCCAAAGAAUAAGCACCGGCUAACUUCGUG